GGGACACAUGGGCUUAGUGGGACAUGUGGCGUGCUCACAAGUGGGACGUCCACUUCCAUGGUAUUUGGGACAUGCACAACGUGAAAUGGAGAAGGGCCAAAGUGCAGCGCACUAUGAGAUCCCAAAGUGGCCAAGUGAGUGGGGCGCAUAUGGGGCUUUGCCAAGUGGGCUUUGCAUGGCACUUGCUAAGUGUCUUGUGAAUGGCACGGCAGGUGGGUUUGAGGGCCAGCAUGCAUGGCUAAUUUCAGCCCAUGCAACGUGAAGAUAUGGGAGGGAAACGUCCCGCCCAAUUAGCUCACAACUUGGUGGGACCCGAAGCAUGAAGGCGCCCAAUCACUUGGCCAAUAUUGUCUCCCGCCCAUGCAAAUGCAAGGUGUCCAAAGGCAGCCGGUCCCCAUGUCCUUCCCAUAAUUAUUUUACUUGUAGUGUAAAAAUGGCCACACAAUAUCCAUCAUUGAGGGCAGCCGGCCAAGAGCUUGUACAUAAGGGAUUUGUUUCCCUUUGUUGACGUAAAUAGAGAUAGAGAAUUUGUGAGUG
This 537-nucleotide unclassified non-coding RNA is filed under the name Hevea brasiliensis (rubber tree). Lineage: Eukaryota; Viridiplantae; Streptophyta; Magnoliopsida; Malpighiales; Euphorbiaceae. The record is from RNAcentral.